Molecule: ribosomal RNA, 253 nt
Filed under: uncultured bacterium
Lineage: Bacteria
Description: partial 16S ribosomal RNA
Rfam family: Bacterial small subunit ribosomal RNA
Source: RNAcentral
UACGGGGGGGGCAAGCGUUGUUCGGAAUUACUGGGCGUAAAGGGCUCGUAGGCGGCCAACUAAGUCGGACGUGAAAUCCCCAGGCUCAACCUGGGAACUGCGUCCGAUACUGGAUGGCUUGAAUUCGGGAGAGGGAUGCAGAAUUCCAGGUGUAGCGGUGAAAUGCGUAGAGAUCCGGAGGAACACCGACGGCGUAGGCAGCGCCCUGGACGACACCUGACGCUGAGGCACGAAAGCUGGGGGAGCGAACAGG